Harpia harpyja (harpy eagle) is the source of this 1310-nucleotide long non-coding RNA. RefSeq lists it as uncharacterized. NCBI's taxonomy places the organism in Eukaryota, Metazoa, Chordata, Aves, Accipitriformes, Accipitridae. The transcript has 3 exons. The record is from RefSeq and is a predicted model, not a curated record.
CCAGUGGGUCACCAGCCCCCUGCAGCAUCUCACCACCUUCUCCGACCUCCAUCCUCUUGUACCCAUCUUGCAGCACACGUCAACGUGCUCCAGCCUCUGAAGGUGGACUGGGAGGCAACUUCACCCCAGUCUGGGAAUUUUGGGAGACAGAAAGGUGAUAGGAAAGGAGGGUCGCAGAUGGUGUGGAGUGGUACCCGGCCGCACACCUGCCCUGCCGCUUGCCUGCGGAGAUGCCGCUCCGGCUCGGGUGGGAUGCUACCAACAGCACCUAUGGAAGGCAGCCCCAGUAAAGCCACCACGUAGCAGCAAAGUCUCCUCCCUGGCUUCUCCGCUGUGGCCCACGGCACGUCAGCCACCAGCAUCGGUGUCGGUGGGGGCUGAUGCGGGAGGGGAGAAGCAAAGCCCGGCAAGGCAGGUCUGGGGGGACGAUGCCACGUCCCGGUGGGACACGGCUCGGUGUUUUGCCGGGAUGCAGAGCUCUUGAGCAAAAAGGGGAGAAGGAGGAGCGCUUGGGGUUGUAGCCCAGGCUGCGUUGGAGGUUUAUAUGAUGAGAGAAGGAGGGAGGAAAGGAUGGACGACUGCUGGGAUGGAGAGCUGGGAGCAGCCAGACCCUCCUGCUUUGGUGGUGGGACAGGGACGACGGGUCUCCUCGGCAAUGCCCGCUUUGGGAUGAGGAUCUGCUGGUGGCCACCAUCAAAUGGCAAAGGAGAGGUGAUGGAAAGGGGGGAAGAGGGGAAGAUGGGGCCAUGCCGGUCCCCGCGGAGCCGCCUGGGGCUGGUGGGUGGUGGCAGCCGUAGCAGAGGUACAGGGACAUCCCGGGAGCAGGCACAACAGCGUUAUCUCAGCCACCCCACGUAACCGCUGCUCCCAUUAUACGCUGCCCUCCAGGCCUCCCCCCGGGCCCUGCCAGCCUUUUGGGGAGCAGAUAAGCUGCGUCCCACCGCUCUAUCAGGCCAGCCCACACCUAGGAUCCAGCAAAACGUGGCUGCUGUCCCCACCCCUGCCCGAGCCCCAGCCAUGGGAUGCUUGUGCCCCCAGCAGAACCCAUCCAAACCACGCCAGGGAUGAAGCAGGGUGCAGCACGCCCAUUAAAAAUGAUUAAAAUAGCAAUUAAGGACUAUUUACACAGCUCCCAAUCCUUAAACUCUCGCUCCCAGGAAGCAAGACCAUGCUACAGGUGAUUUUUCCCAGGGGAUCCGGGCUGGAUGAUGCGUGGAAGUCAUUUUUGGAUUUUUUUUGGUGCUUCUUCAAAAAGUAAUCACGCAUUUUUCUUCUGCGGUUUUUCCUCGGCCAACCCCACGUGGGGGGUC